RNAcentral lists this long non-coding RNA (320 nucleotides) under Rattus norvegicus (Norway rat). RNAcentral describes it as "long non-coding RNA NONRATT003072". Lineage: Eukaryota; Metazoa; Chordata; Mammalia; Rodentia; Muridae. The record is from RNAcentral.
GCGGCUGUCUGGACCGGUAGUCGACGGUCCUACGGUUCCUUCCCGACCCCCACCCCCACGGAGCCAGAUUUACCUGGCACCUUUCGUCCUUUUCAUCUUGUUUUGAGUUGGUUAUAAACAGGAACCAUGACCGCAGCUGAGAACGUGUGCUAUACGUUAAUUAACGUGCCAAUGGACUCAGAACCCCCUUCUGAAAUCAGCUUAAAAAAUGACCUGGGUAAAUAGUUUCUUAACUCAGAUAGGAAUUGUUUUAAUUGAUAGGUUAAAAAUAUAAAAAUUGGACAUAAAAUUAUAAAAUAUAAAAAUUAAUGUGAUGUUUU